RNAcentral lists this ribosomal RNA (253 nucleotides) under uncultured bacterium. RNAcentral describes it as "partial 16S ribosomal RNA". It matches the Rfam family "Bacterial small subunit ribosomal RNA", at positions 524 to 776 of the family's 1533-position model. The record is from RNAcentral.
UACGGGGGGGGCAAGCGUUGUUCGGAAUUACUGGGCGUAAAGGGCUCGUAGGUGGCCAACUAAGUCGGACGUGAAAUCCCUCAGCUUAACUGGGGAACUGCGUCCGAUACUGGAUGGCUUGAGUUUGGGAGAGGGAUGCGGAAUUCCAGGUGUAGCGGUGAAAUGCGUAGAUAUCUGGAGGAACACCGGUGGCGAAGGCGGGUCUCUGGGCCGUAACUGACGCUGAGGAGCGAAAGCGUGGGGAGCGAACAGG